AUGGGGUGACUGCGUACCUUUUGUAUAAUGGGUCAGCGACUUAUAUUCUGUAGCAAGGUUAACCGUAUAGGGGAGCCGCAGGGAAACCGAGUCUUAACUGGGCGUUAAGUUGCAGGGUAUAGACCCGAAACCCGGUGAUCUAGCCAUGGGCAGGUUGAAGGUUGGGUAACACUAACUGGAGGACCGAACCGACUAAUGUUGAAAAAUUAGCGGAUGACUUGUGGCUGGGGGUGAAAGGCCAAUCAAACCGGGAGAUAGCUGGUUCUCCCCGAAAGCUAUUUAGGUAGCGCCUCGUGAACUCAUCUCCGGGGGUAGAGCACUGUUUCGGCUAGGGGGCCAUCCCGGCUUACCAACCCGAUGCAAACUGCGAAUACCGGAGAAUGUUAUCACGGGAGACACACGGCGGGUGCUAACGUCCGUCGUGAAGAGGGAAACAACCCAGACCGCCAGCUAAGGUCCCAAAGUCAUGGUUAAGUGGGAAACGAUGUGGGAAGGCACAGACAGCCAGGAUGUUGGCUUAGAAGCAGCCAUCAUUUAAAGAAAGCGUAAUAGCUCACUGGUCGAGUCGGCCUGCGCGGAAGAUGUAACGGGGCUAAACCAUGCACCGAAGCUGCGGCAGCGACACUAUGUGUUGUUGGGUAGGGGAGCGUUCUGUAAGCCGUUGAAGGUGUGCUGUGAGGCAUGCUGGAGGUAUCAGAAGUGCGAAUGCUGACAUAAGUAACGAUAAAGCGGGUGAAAAGCCCGCUCGCCGGAAGACCAAGGGUUCCUGUUCAACGUUAAUCGGAGCAGGGUGAGUCGACCCCUAAGGCGAGGCUGAAAAGCGUAGUCGAUGGGAAGCAGGUUAAUAUUCCUGCACUUGGUGUUACUGCGAAGGGGGGACGGAGAAGGCUAGGUUAUCCGGGCGACGGUUGUCCCGGUUUAAGCGUGUAGGCUGAUACCUUUGGUAAAUCCGGGGUAUCUUAAGGCUGAGGCGUGACGACGAGCCACCACGGUGGUGAAGUAACUGAUGCCCUGCUUCCAGGAAAAGCCUCUAAGCUCCAGGUAACACGAAAUCGUACCCCAAACCGACACAGGUGGUCAGGUAGAGAAUACCAAGGCGCUUGAGAGAACUCGGGUGAAGGAACUAGGCAAAAUGGUGCCGUAACUUCGGGAGAAGGCACGCUGUCAUCAGGUGAAGUCCCUCGCGGAUGGAGCUGAAGGCAGUCGAAGAUACCAGCUGGCUGCAACUGUUUAUUAAAAACACAGCACUGUGCAAACACGAAAGUGGACGUAUACGGUGUGACGCCUGCCCGGUGCCGGAAGGUUAAUUGAUGGGGUUAUCCGCAAGGAGAAGCUCUUGAUCGAAGCCCCGGUAAACGGCGGCCGUAACUAUAACGGUCCUAAGGUAGCGAAAUUCCUUGUCGGGUAAGUUCCGACCUGCACGAAUGGCGUAAUGAUGGCCAGGCUGUCUCCACCCGAGACUCAGUGAAAUUGAAAUCGCUGUGAAGAUGCAGUGUACCCGCGGCAAGACGGAAAGACCCCGUGAACCUUUACUAUAGCUUGACACUGAACAUUGAGCCUUGAUGUGUAGGAUAGGUGGGAGGCUUUGAAGCGUGGACGCCAGUCUGCGUGGAGCCAACCUUGAAAUACCACCCUUUAAUGUUUGAUGUUCUAACGUAGGCCCGUUACCCGGGCUGCGGACAGUGUCUGGUGGGUAGUUUGACUGGGGCGGUCUCCUCCCAAAGAGUAACGGAGGAGCACGAAGGUUGGCUAAUCCUGGUCGGACAUCAGGAGGUUAGUGCAAUGGCAUAAGCCA
Molecule: ribosomal RNA, 1795 nt
Filed under: Pantoea sp. PNT02
Lineage: Bacteria; Pseudomonadati; Pseudomonadota; Gammaproteobacteria; Enterobacterales; Erwiniaceae
Description: partial 23S ribosomal RNA
Rfam family: Bacterial large subunit ribosomal RNA
Source: RNAcentral